RNAcentral lists this ribosomal RNA (408 nucleotides) under uncultured bacterium. RNAcentral's name for it is "partial 16S ribosomal RNA". It matches the Rfam family "Bacterial small subunit ribosomal RNA", at positions 29 to 526 of the family's 1533-position model. The record is from RNAcentral.
AGUGAACGCUGGCGGCGUGCCUAAUACAUGCAAGUCGAACGAAGUGGCGCACGGGUGAGUAAUAUAUAGUUAAUCUGCCCUACACAGAGGAACAACAGUUGGAAACGACUGCUAAUACCUCAUAGUGUAGGAUGAGACUAUAUCGUAUCAGCUAGUUGGUAAGGUAAUGGCUUACCAAGGCUAUGACGCGUAACUGGUCUGAGAGGAUGAUCAGUCACAUUAGAACUGAGACACGGUCCAGACGCGUACGGGAGGCAGCGGUAGGGAAUAUUGCGCAGUGGGGGAGCCCCUGACGCAGCAACGCCGGGUGCGGGAUGUCGGCCUUCGGGUUGUAAACCGCUUUCAGCCAUGACGCGGUAGUGGCAGAAGAAGCACCGGCUAACUACGUGCCAGCCGCCGCGGUAAUUC